RNAcentral lists this ribosomal RNA (433 nucleotides) under uncultured bacterium. RNAcentral's name for it is "partial 16S ribosomal RNA". It matches the Rfam family "Bacterial small subunit ribosomal RNA", at positions 29 to 507 of the family's 1533-position model. The record is from RNAcentral.
AACGAACGCUGGCGGCAUGCCUAACACAUGCAAGUCGAACGAGACCUUCGGGAGUAGGGUCGCACGGGUGUGUAACGCGAGGGAACCUGCCCUUAGGUUCGGCAUAACUCUCCGAAAGGGGUGCUAAUACGGGAUAAUGUCUUCGGACCCAAGAUUUAUUGCCUUUGGAUGGGCCCGCGUUGGAUUAGCUGGUUGGUAGGGUAAAAGCCUCUCAAGGCGACGAUCCAUAGCUGGGCUGGGAGGAGGGUCAGCCACACUGGGACUGAGACACGGCCCAGACUCCUACGGGAGGCAGCAGUGGGGGAUAUUGGACAACGGGGUGAAGCAUGAUCCAGCUAUGCCGGUUGAGCGAUGUAGGCAUUAGGGUUGUAAAGCUCUUUUACCCGGGAUGAUAAUGACGGUACCGGGUGAAUAAGCCCCGGCUAACUCCGUG